Molecule: ribosomal RNA, 497 nt
Filed under: uncultured bacterium
Lineage: Bacteria
Description: partial 16S ribosomal RNA
Rfam family: Bacterial small subunit ribosomal RNA
Source: RNAcentral
GACGAACGCCGGCGGCGUGCCUAAUACAUGCAAGUUGAGCGAUGAAGCUUGGUGCUUGCCCCAAUUUGAAGAGCAGCGAACGGGUGAGUAACGCGUGGGGAAUCUGCCUUUGAGCGGGGGACAACAUUUGGAAACGAAUGCUAAUACCGCAUAAUAACUUUAAACAUAAGUUUUAAGUUUGAAAGAUGCAAUUGCAUCACUCAAAGAUGAUCCCGCGUUGUAUUAGCUAGUUGGUGAGGUAAAGGCUCACCAAGGCGAUGAUACAUAGCCGACCUGAGAGGGUGAUCGGCCACAUUGGGACUGAGACACGGCCCAAACUCCUACGGGAGGCAGCAGUAGGGAAUCUUCGGCAAUGGACGAAAGUCUGACCGAGCAACGCCGCGUGAGUGAAGAAGGUUUUCGGAUCGUAAAACUCUGUUGGUAGAGAAGAACGUUGGUGAGAGUGGAAAGCUCAUCAAGUGACGGUAACUACCCAGAAAGGGACGGCUAACUACGUG